AAGUGCUAAAAGACCGUAUCUACAAAAUCAAGUCCCUGUUUUUUUAAUAAAGAAUUUUUGGAAUUCGAUGUCUGAUAUAAAUAGAAAACGAAAAAAUAUACAAUUUUUGAUAAAGAAAAUUUGAAGUCUCUCUUUCAGAAACAAAAUCAAAAUAAAAAACAUAGUCCUUAAAGCAUUUUUUUUCAAAAUUCCAAAGAAAAGGAAGUUAGCUUAUUUACCUUAUUUUCACGAACUACGCUUGGUCUAAUUCGUGCGGGGUCGCGAUACGUAGGCAAUCCUUAUCAGAUUCGACCGUAACCAUAAGAGAAAAACAAAAAGAGAGGGAAGAAAAUAGAGGAAAAACAAAAGAAACAAAAAGCGGAAGAAAAUCUAAAAAAAAUAGAGCGGAGGAAAAUCAAAGAAAACUCAUGGCAGAAAAAAUGGAAAUACAGAAAAUGAGAAAAACAGAGGGGAGAAAAAAGAAAAACAAAUGUAAAAACAAGCAAGGAAAACAAAAGAAAAAUCGGGAUGACACAUGCAACCAUUGAUGUGUGAUUACCUAUUUGUAUUUGUCUCAAAACUAACCGUUCGCUGCUAUCAUUUCCAGAGGCCACAUUUAUAGAAACAGGUGGUUAGUUUUGUGGUAAACUGGCUUCGCACCACUACUUUACUAGAUCUAAAGAUAGCGUCAGAAAUGACCCUGCCAACAAUUCCUAUUUCGGAAGAUAGUCCACUCUUGGGCGUCCCGGCCUCAGAGUCCGCAGUUGACGAAGAAAACAGAAUCUUAAAUCUGAGGGUAAUGGAGAUGUGAGACGCAUGGAUAAGUGGAAAAGAACCCUCGAGUGUCAUCCCUUGAUUUCCCGAGUUGUUCCCAAGACCAACUGGUACCUUUAACAUUCCCAUCAACCACCCUAACUUCCCGCUAGGAUAGCCUACUAUAUUCACUCAUUUCGUGGGAGCAACUUUUGAGGUCCGACCCCAGGCAUUCAUACCCGGGACAACUCCAAACAUCUUCACUGCUCCACCAUCUUCUGCUACAACACAGCCCGCAAUCCCUAGGCCUGUGUUUGAUCCAUCGACCUUCACUUAUCAAACUUCUACUUACCAGCCCGAACUUCCUCCAUACUCCGCAUAUGCUUACCCUCAGCCACCACUAUAUGAGUUUACACCGAGGCAAGACAAAACCCCUAAAGCCCCUGAGCAAGAUGAGAUGGCCAGGAGAAUGAGAAGUCAUGGACAGAGCUUAAAGAACAUGCAAGGUUUGAGCAGGCAAAAGAGUGUCUUUUAUACAAAUUUGUGUAUGUUUCCGCAUGUACAUUUGCCGCCAGGGUUCAAAACACCAAAAUUUGAAAAGUAUGACGGGCACGGCGACCCCAUUGCUCAUUGAAGAAGUAUUGCACCGGUGGCAAAGAAGAACUGUUGAUGGCAUAUUUUGUGGAAAGCUUAAUUGGUAUUGCUUCAGAGUGGUAUAUGGAUCAAGACAUAUCUCGACGGCACAUUUGGGACGAUCUUGCCCGAGAUUUUGUAAGGCAGUUUCAGUAUAACAUUGACAUCGCGCCAGACCGGAAUUCUUUGUCAAACUUGAAGAAGAAACCCUCAGAAAGCUUUAGAGAAUACGCUAUUAAAUGGUGCGAGCAAGCAUCAAAUAUAAAUGGUCACUGUCUUUCUCCAGGCACAGGAAUCAGACUACUUCCAAAACAUGAUGUCGGCCAUGGGCAAGCCUUUUGAAUAGGCCAUCAAAAUUGGUGACAUGGUAGAACACGGUUUGAAUACGGGUAGAAUGUUAAGUCAGUCAGCCAUCAGAGCAACCUCCCAAGCCAUCCAAGGCGGUUAUGGAGGAAUGGCAAAGAAUAAGAUGAGAGAAGAAACAACCAUGGUAGCAUCAGGGGGAAGAAGAUACCGGGCCGGAAGAACCCCUCAACACUACUAUCCUCACUCCGAUAUGGUCUAUGAUCCACCACCUUAUGUAGUUAUGAAUGCUCAACCUUUCGGCCGACCGCAACCACAAGCUAACAGAAAUCAACCUCCAUUCCAAAAAAACCAGCCUCCUCACCAGAACCACUAUAAUCCUUGAC
RNAcentral lists this long non-coding RNA (2054 nucleotides) under Nicotiana benthamiana. RNAcentral's name for it is "long non-coding RNA (NBEN_LNC020518)". Lineage: Eukaryota; Viridiplantae; Streptophyta; Magnoliopsida; Solanales; Solanaceae. The record is from RNAcentral.